RNAcentral lists this ribosomal RNA (253 nucleotides) under uncultured bacterium. Its description in RNAcentral is "partial 16S ribosomal RNA". It matches the Rfam family "Bacterial small subunit ribosomal RNA", at positions 524 to 776 of the family's 1533-position model. The record is from RNAcentral.
UACGGAGGGGGCGAGCGUUAUUCGGAAUUAUUGGGCGUAAAGGGCGCGUAGGCGGCUGUACAAGUCAAAGGUGAAAUCCCUCGGCUCAACUGAGGAACUGCCUUUGAAACUGUACGGCUUGAGGCCGGGAGGGGGUAGCGGAAUUCCCAGUGUAGCGGUGAAAUGCGUAGAGAUGCGGAGGAACACCGAUGGCGAAGGCAGCCCCCUGGGCUGACACUGACGCUCAGGCACGAAAGCGUGGGGAGCAAACAGG